This 784-nucleotide long non-coding RNA is filed under the name Naja naja (Indian cobra). RNAcentral describes it as "lncRNA (ENSNNAG00000008389.1)". The record is from RNAcentral. Lineage: Eukaryota; Metazoa; Chordata; Lepidosauria; Squamata; Elapidae.
UAAAUGGUCCUACUUUGCAAAUAAUUUAUGUUCUUCUCUAUUAUAGGUGAAGACUGGUUGGAUAACACUACUGCAAGCUGGAUCUCUCAUCCUACCUGUUAAGCAUGCCGAAACCGAGUUAAUUCUGGAAGCGGAUCCAGUGUGUUGUGCAAAUGCAGCCAUGCUUAAGGAAGAAAGACUGGUGUCCCUUCUCCCACAGACUCCACCACAUAGACAAGACCUCCAUCCAUACUACUGCUUCUCUGAAGUGCUGAUGGCCUCAUUAUACCCCUUCCCCAAAUUCUGCUCCAAAGGAAGUGGCUGGAAUUGCGUCCCAUUGAUGUCAAGCGGCAUGAAGCAACCAUCCCUUCUUUUACAAGAGCCUUUUACAAAGGGUCUUCCCACCCUUUGGUGGAUCACAGCUGGAGCUGAUGCAUCCAGACACAGAACAAACCUCGAAGGCUUUCAGUAAGAGAAUGAACCAACCACAGAAGGGAUCCUUGUUGCUAAAAUAUGGAGCUUCUUCCACGAUACUAUCAGAAAUACUGACAUGAGCUAUAAUUUGGUUGACAAGACUGUUGUGUCAACAAUGACACUUGAUAGUGGAAUGUUUGUACGCACAAUGGCAUGGAGUUUGGAAGAGAAAUUGUUCAAGAAUCUGAAGAAGAUGCUCCUUCUUCAAGUCAACCUUGACACCGACUGAGCUGGAUAGCCAACCACCUCCUUGCUAACAAGAUGGAAGAGUUUGCCUUGGUUUUCUUCUGGAUGUGAUCUUGACCUCCCAGCCUAGUCUCCUUUUAUUUAU